GUGGUUUGUCGCGUCGUCUGUGAAAUUCCGGGGCUUAACUCCGGGCGUGCAGGCGAUACGGGCAUAACUUGAGUACUGUAGGGGUAACUGGAAUUCCUGGUGUAGCGGUGAAAUGCGCAGAUAUCAGGAGGAACACCGAUGGCGAAGGCAGGUUACUGGGCAGUUACUGACGCUGAGGAGCGAAAGCAUGGGUAGCGAACAGGAUUAGAUACCCUGGUAGUCCAUGCCGUAAACGGUGGGCGCUAGGUGUGAGGGUCUUUUCACGACUCUCGUGCCGUAGCUAACGCAUUAAGCGCCCCGCCUGGGGAGUACGGCCGCAAGGCUAAAACUCAAAGGAAUUGACGGGGGCCCGCACAAGCGGCGGAGCAUGUGGAUUAAUUCGAUGCAACGCGAAGAACCUUACCUGGGCUUGACAUACACCGGAUCGGGCUAGAGAUAGUCUUUCCCUUUGUGGCUGGUGUACAGGUGGUGCAUGGUUGUCGUCAGCUCGUGUCGUGAGAUGUUGGGUUAAGUCCCGCAACGAGCGCAACCCUUGUCUUAUGUUGCCAGCAUUUGGUUGGGGACUCAUGAGAGACUGCCGGGGUCAACUCGGAGGAAGGUGGGGAUGACGUCAAAUCAUCAUGCCCCUUAUGUCCAGGGCUUCACACAUGCUACAAUGGUCGGUACAACGCGCAGCGACACUGUGAGGUGGAGCGAAUCGCUGAAAGCCGGCCUUAGUUCGGAUUGGGGUCUGCAACUCGACCCCAUGAAGUCGGAGUCGCUAGUAAUCG
RNAcentral lists this ribosomal RNA (770 nucleotides) under uncultured bacterium. Its description in RNAcentral is "bacterial SSU rRNA". It matches the Rfam family "Bacterial small subunit ribosomal RNA", at positions 575 to 1344 of the family's 1533-position model. The record is from RNAcentral.